CGCGGGAUGGAGCAGUCCGGUAGCUCGUCAGGCUCAUAACCUGAAGGUCGUGAGGUUCAAAUCCCACUCCCGCAC
RNAcentral lists this transfer RNA (75 nucleotides) under Acetobacter sp. CAG:977. It matches the Rfam family "tRNA". Rfam says of the family: Transfer RNA (tRNA) molecules are approximately 80 nucleotides in length. The record is from Rfam by way of RNAcentral. Lineage: Bacteria; Pseudomonadati; Pseudomonadota; Alphaproteobacteria; Acetobacterales; Acetobacteraceae.